Molecule: long non-coding RNA, 141 nt
Organism: Gadus macrocephalus (Pacific cod)
Lineage: Eukaryota; Metazoa; Chordata; Actinopteri; Gadiformes; Gadidae
Exons: 2
Source: RefSeq, a predicted model, not a curated record
GAGCAAGGUACGUUUUAUUACUCUGUUUUCUGGGAAUAAUUGACGCAAGCAGAAACCAGAAAACAAGCCAGCCCUGCAUUGCGCAUCUGUUGACCUUUAUCCAUUUACAGUAAACAGAUAUUUUUUUCUUGCUGGAAGAUA